GGCCUCCACAGGUUCAGUCCAUCUGUGGGAUGUAAACUUAAUUCUUUCAGUUCUGAGGUUCUUGGUACCACCGUCGGUUCUCCCAGGGCAUCAUAAGUCAACAUCUUUGGCUGGCGUCUCUGUCGUUGAGGGUUCGUCUCAAGGAGGAGCUGUUUCCCUCUCACUGUUGACUCAACAGCGCCUCCUGGCUGGCUCGCCAUGUUUAUGUUACCCACACAGAAAAGAGAGAUUUCUGGUGUCACAUAAAGCAGUUUUUAUUUUUGUUGUCACAGCUGUAGAAACAAUAAACACAAAGGCAAAACUG
Non-coding RNA from Misgurnus anguillicaudatus (oriental weatherfish), 304 nucleotides. The record is from RefSeq and is a predicted model, not a curated record. Lineage: Eukaryota; Metazoa; Chordata; Actinopteri; Cypriniformes; Cobitidae.